GUGCCCUUAGUGUAUCGGAUAUCACGGUGGCCUCCGGAGCCGCAGAGGCAGGUUCGACUCCUGCAGGGCACG
This is a transfer RNA of Tumebacillus flagellatus, 72 nucleotides long. It matches the Rfam family "tRNA". Rfam says of the family: Transfer RNA (tRNA) molecules are approximately 80 nucleotides in length. Their secondary structure includes four short double-helical elements and three loops (D, anti-codon, and T loops). Further hydrogen bonds mediate the characteristic L-shaped molecular structure. tRNAs have two regions of fundamental functional importance: the anti-codon, which is responsible for specific mRNA codon recognition, and the 3' end, to which the tRNAs corresponding amino acid is attached (by aminoacyl-tRNA synthetases). tRNAs cope with the degeneracy of the genetic code in two manners: having more than one tRNA (with a specific anti-codon) for a particular amino acid; and 'wobble' base-pairing, i.e. permitting non-standard base-pairing at the 3rd anti-codon position. NCBI's taxonomy places the organism in Bacteria, Bacillati, Bacillota, Bacilli, Caryophanales, Alicyclobacillaceae. The record is from Rfam.